CGUACAUAUUCAUCCGUGUGGAGGUCAGAAAUAGUUUCCUGGCGUACACGAAGACAAUACAUUUUCAGCAUGAAACAGUCUAAACUGUCCACUGGAAAGCGUCUUACAAAACCAGUUCUUUUUGGGACACUGCUAGUAGGUUUGGCCACGGCAUUUUUGAACAGGCAUUUGUUCAUGGAGGACCUGGCAGAUCUUAGGGAGCAGGAACGAUCCCGCAAUGAGGCCAAACGGCUGGAGGUGAUGGAAAGGAGGAGGAGACAAAUAGAUGAAGUUGCAGAGAGGAAGAGUGCUGGGGACAGGUGAGGUGACUGAAUGGAAACCUGCAGGAAACCAGCACUGAAGAAGAAAAUAUGGGACAUUUUUGCCAAUAAGGAUUUGUGAAGUGUUAAAGCUUUUCCUUGAUUGUUCUGUUGUUGCUGUAACGGGACAGACGGUGCAUGGAAAGUUUGAGUGAUAUAGCAAGCAAUGAUUUGAAUUGACUGCCUGGUUCAUAUUUACCUGUAACAGCUGGAUUUACAAGAGGAUUAUACAUUACAUAUAUAUGAGAUAGGUAAAUAUUAAUGGGCCAAACAAAUAUGUAUGUGCCUCAUUCCUGCCACUGACAAAAAGCUACUUUGAUUUUAUUGAAACAUGCUUUAAAAAACACUUGAAUGAAUAUUUUAUGUACAAUCCAAACAAUUUAUUAACAUUACAAAUGAGCUUCACCAGUUAAAAGCCUGAAAAAUAAAUUGCUUAAUAUUUUGAAUA
Labeo rohita (rohu) is the source of this 747-nucleotide long non-coding RNA. RefSeq lists it as uncharacterized. The transcript is spliced from 2 exons. The record is from RefSeq and is a predicted model, not a curated record. NCBI's taxonomy places the organism in Eukaryota, Metazoa, Chordata, Actinopteri, Cypriniformes, Cyprinidae.